This 1225-nucleotide long non-coding RNA is filed under the name Homo sapiens (human). RNAcentral's name for it is "HSALNT0100460". The record is from RNAcentral. Lineage: Eukaryota; Metazoa; Chordata; Mammalia; Primates; Hominidae.
UGUGGUUCUGUGCUGUUCUCUGGGCUCUGCCACCAAAUACAGCAGCUGAGUGACCUAUCACUGAGAAAGACACAGUUCAUAAGACUAAGAGAGAAAGGUGAGGGUAAAGGGCCUUCUGUCGCUCCUGAGGGGGAAUCAGAGGAGAGAAUGAGGAAAACAGAUGGCUGUGAAUAAACAACCAGAGAAGAGCCUUGAGGUUGCUAGAUUCGGGUCAAGGUGUACGACUUCCCGUCCUGUGCUAGGGGCUAGGAAGACAAAGAGAAACAGAGUCACAUCCUCCCACAAAAAUCCAUGAGAUGUCGGAGAGCCGAACUUGUAAACAGCCAUCAUCAACACAAAGAAGGAUGCACUGAUGCUCUCUAGAGGCUCACAGGAAAUGAUUCAUGGGCAUAGAGGUGUGCAAUUUGCUUCCUGCCCCAGCCCUGACCCUGAGAUGCAGCAUGGAGGGAGUAGAGGGGUGGGGUUUGCGAAGUCACUUCCAGUCAUCGUGGGACCUUUAUGGAAACCUGGGCUCCACUCCACAGGAUGAGUCUCAACUGGAACCCUUGCCCAUUGGGCUCACUGUUCCAAUCUAAAGGGCAGGCUUUCCACUACUCUUUGGGACUUGUAGUUUGUGGGUUUUUUUCACAUGCACAUCAUCUUACUUACAGUUCCCCAAGAAUAAAAGCUUUCCAUCUCAAUUCUGGGCACUCUAAGUUUACCUGUAUUUCCUUUUCACUUUAAACAAAGGUAGUCAUAGGAGCCCGUCAUUUCCCAUGACUCAGGGAAUUGAGUUCAUGUUGCUUGCCUUGUGAGUGCUUACAGCCUGUAUGUCAUAGCAUUUAGAAAUGUCACUGAACCUAGGUUCGGCUGCUCGCUCCUUGAGAGCCAAACUGGAGACACAAGAGUUGGUCGGAGGAGAAGUAGGUUUAUGAGGAGCUGGCAACCUGAGGAGAUGGUGGGCUAGUGUCACAAAGACCAUCUCGAAUUUCUCAGGCUGGCCAGGGGUGUUAUGCGAGGGGGAGUCUGGGGGAAUUAUGUACAAGAGCUGAAUACAUGCUGGUCAGUCUGUCUAGUCUCAAUGACUGUCUUGAAUAAUGGGCCACCUGGUGGUCUGGCUGGCAUUAGCUUGAUUGCAACAGGAAUACAGAUGAACGGCUCAGCCUUCUUUCCAGAGUGGGAUGUUCUGCAACCUGGAUUCCAUGCUUAGCGUUUCAGGUCAGUCCCUGCAGUUCUUUAAGCAAAG